CUUGUUCAGCUGCAUGCAAUAAAUCCUGCAUUUCCUUAUUUGCAUGCAAUAAAUCCUGCAUUUCCUUAUUUUCUGCACAAUCAAAAUUUGCCAACAUUUUGUGUUUUAGCAGUGACAUUAAGUAUUGCUGAUAUUUAAGUAUAUGAAAUUGACAAUUUAAAGCCCUCACUGCCAAAGUAGCAGAAGU
This is a long non-coding RNA of Protopterus annectens (West African lungfish), 187 nucleotides long. RefSeq lists it as uncharacterized. The record is from RefSeq and is a predicted model, not a curated record. The transcript has 3 exons. NCBI's taxonomy places the organism in Eukaryota, Metazoa, Chordata, Ceratodontiformes, Protopteridae.